UACGUAGGGCGCAAGCGUUAUCCGGAAUUAUUGGGCGUAAAGAGCUCGUAGGCGGUUUGUCGCGUCUGCCGCGAAAGUCCGGGGCUCAACUCCGGAUCUGCGGUGGGUACGGGCAGACUAGAGUGCAGUAGGGGAGACUGGAAUUCCUGGUGUAGCGGUGAAAUGCGCAGAUAUCAGGAGGAACACCGGUGGCGAAGGCGGGUCUCUGGGCCGUUACUGACGCUGAGGAGCGAAAGCGUGGGGAGCGAACAGG
RNAcentral lists this ribosomal RNA (253 nucleotides) under uncultured bacterium. RNAcentral describes it as "partial 16S ribosomal RNA". It matches the Rfam family "Bacterial small subunit ribosomal RNA", at positions 524 to 776 of the family's 1533-position model. The record is from RNAcentral.